This is a long non-coding RNA of Alligator mississippiensis (American alligator), 5918 nucleotides long. RefSeq lists it as uncharacterized. Lineage: Eukaryota; Metazoa; Chordata; Crocodylia; Alligatoridae. The transcript is spliced from 5 exons. The record is from RefSeq and is a predicted model, not a curated record.
UUCCCAUGUAGUAAAGCUGCUACACAUUUUUCAACUACCCCAGAUACAACUAACUUACUGCACACCAGAACUGAGUGUCAUGUGUUUGCUCCCAUUUUUUUCCUACUUAAUAAGGAUUACCAUUCUCUUACACAAGGAAAAUGCCACAGCUGUAGAGCAAACCAACGGGUCAUUAUUCUCUGUCUCUCCCUAUGUACCAUGCUCUGACCCACGCCCCAUCCACGCUAUGGAGCUGGGACACUGGAAGCCCCCAGAGUCCGACUUCUAUCUGGGGCUUGGUUUUCAGCUUUGGACGAUCUGAGAACCCUGAUACGAUCCACAGAGUCUGGAAACUCUCAUCAGAAAUUCCCUGAAACAGAUGAAGAGCCAUUAAUGGUCCCAGUGAUGAGGGGCUGACCUGAAAUAGAGCCCAAAAGACCAGUUUUGUAUGGACCACAAUACCUCAUGAGUAUGAAGAAACACAGAGGGCCAGCACUAUUCACCAAGAAGCAACACUGAUCAGAGAUACUGUCCAGUAACUACAUCCAUUCAGCACUUUCUUUCAAUAGCCUUAAAAGAAAUGUUAAACGACUCGAACUUGAGCGAUGCUUGCAAAGGAAUGAAAGCAGCUGAGCCCACCGCAACUCACCCGUAGCAAGUACUCGGCUUUCCUCAGGAGUCAAAUUGUUUCUGAUAUGACCUCAGUGUCUCUGCCUUCGUGACUGUGCCUGGCGCUGCAGGUCACCCCUCACGUCUCUUAACCUUUGAUGGGAAAAGGGCUGCCUAAUGCUUAGCCCCUGCAUUUGUGUUCUCCAGCUUCCCUUUCUUCCACCUCGGCCUUGAUCUUUUAGAGCUAACAGCAAUAACUCUCACCGACGUUAUCUACACCAUUUAAAACUUAGGCACAUCCCAAUUAAUCUCCCCAGCUAUUUCAAGGUUUUUAAGUUGCAUGCAUUAAGAGCCUCCAGUCUCUUCCUGUAGCUCAUAACUCUCUCCGGCCUAAACCAUCUGCCCUGUUCUUCCCUGCACUUCAUUUAGAUUUUAGGUUUUAUAUUUGUAUAUGUAAUCCUUUGGCAUGGGAGGUCCUACAAAUUAAGUUUCUAUGUCUCAUUUCACUUGUGGCUUAAAAAAAAUCCACGUUGUGAAUCUUAAACUCUUCAAUGCAUUAAGAGAGAAUGUCCUAAUGGUCUUUUUUUUUUUAAUUGACACUCUUCCUUUUGUUUCUUUUUGUUUCUAUGUAACUCAAUUAUGAAUUGUGGCAAAUGAGCAGAUUUACCCACAAAUUAUCGACAAAACAACAGGUACCGACACGGGUAAAAGUGUAUGCUAUGUACCCAUGCGCUAGUCUUAUCAUGAGACUAGCGCAAACUCUUCCUCCCCCCCCUAUCUCCUCAAUAUGCUUCAGUGGGGACUCAAGGAGCUGGCACAAGGCGGUGCCUUCCACUGGCGCCUUUCAGAGGAAACGAUGUUAUUCUUCAGCAUCUCAGCUUUCAAUUAAAAACACUGAAGUCUCUGGCUGUUAUGGCUAUGAAGAAAACCUCAAAAAUGUGAACCAAGUGGAAGGGAUGCAGAGACAAAUCUGACAGCAGCCUGGAACAAUACCUCUGAGAGGUGUGAACUUUCUCCAGCAGUUACCGUGAUUUUUACGUCUUGUCUUUAUUAACUCUUUCACUCCUCAGGCGAGAGAGGAGAGGGAUAACUAUGCAAUUUCUGACAGGUGGUGUCCCCUAGUGCCAUGGGUACAUAGCAUUUGGAAUAUACCUUCAAACAUUUGUGGGAGAAAAUCAAGCCCCAGGACCAUAGCACCACCCUUGGGAAUAAGCAAGCUGCACUGAUGGUGCAGCCAGCUCAAGGAGUACAAGGGAGCUCAAACAGCUCAUGUAGCUGCAUUUGAAACCAUCUGCACCAUCUGCCCUGCUGGCAUCUCAUUUUGACCACUCUCCUGGGUGGAAAUGAUUUUGUGAGCAAAGCUUGGAAGAGUACCACCUCAUUAUUGUUUCCAUUAGCAUUACCAAGAAGAAGGCCAAGUAAUUUCAACCACUGAGAUCCAUUUGUAAUGUGGCUAUCAGCCCAUUAAGAACCAGGGCUUAUUAACUGCAUUUGAAUGCAACCUGGGGCUGUGGGUAGAAGGGUGCCUUCUGAUAGAUGUCUUUCCUGAUGGGGAUUUUUGUUCCUCCAGGUCUCUCUCCCUCAUACAAGCCCACACACUAGCCCUUUCUUUUUGCACAGGCAUUUCAUAGCGCUAACGUAUGAGCAUGGUAAGUGGCAUUAUUUAUGGAUUCUCAGACUGCCUCCCUUGUGUUAGUCACUUAUUAAUGAACCUAUCAGCUUCAGCAUGUGGAUUUGGUUCAAAGGACAAAGCCUGUUUACAUAUGGGAAAUAUUUCCUCUUGUAGCAGCAAGUGAGCUGCAUUGUUUCUGCAGCAGCUUGACAAUAGAUUGCGAGGCUGCAAGUGCUGCAUCUGCUGCAAAUGUGCUCGGCUGAAAACAGCAACGCAACGUUUGCUGUAAAAGAAAGAAACAUUCAUUAUUAUUUUUAUUGCUCCCAACUACUGUAAACUGUGGAGGAAUAGAGCUGCAAAGCUAGCCAUUAAACUGUCUGCUCUUUCCUGUUUAAACAAGGCCUCUCCUGGGUUUUAGCUGCCUCAACCACUGUGGGUCAACAUCCAGGAAGGAAGACGUUUCUAAGGUAACCACCGUGGCCUUCUACUAAGGUGGUUCCAUGAAAGCGCAGAACUGGUGAGAGUGACAAAAAGCAGUUCAUUGGAUAAUGUACAAAAAGUCAGUCCACCAGUCCAGCAGGAAACAACAACUGAGACAAACUGAAGAUGUGAAACACCCCUUGUACAACUAUCCCACAGCAUACAAAUGUCUGAAGCCAAGCAGGAGCUUCCUCACCAGCACCCAAACACUCGAUGCCAAACCCAAGGAGACAUGACUACAGGUAUGGAACAAGAGGCUAAAGAAAAUAUUAGGCACCGGAAUAUCCAGUUUUUCAUUGUCAGAGUCCUUGCCGUCAGGGUCUGACAAACCGUGGCAAAGAUGGUGAUGUUUCAACUGCCUACAUACCAGAAUUGGAUGCUCCAAGGAACUAAUGAAGAAGUGGGGGCUUUACCAUCGGUUUAACCAUCUGUGACUGUGACACAGAGCCUCAGACUAUGCAACACCUGCUGCAGUGCCUGCUGCUUGAAGGCAUGUGUACAAUGAAAGGUCUUGCAAAAUACAAUAAAUGAGCACCAGCAUGUCUAACAAAAUAGUCAAGCGUGAUGUUGAGACAUAAGUCUACCUUCAUUAUAUAAGAAAGCUACCAGCAUGUUUAAUCUACAGUAUAUUGUACAGCAAAGUAGAUAUGGCUUUGCCUUAUAGGUAUAUGGGUUGUAAGUUAGUAGCAGCCAAGAAAACCUGUAACACACAUCCUGAGGAAAAAAUAUUGGAAAGAUGGGAAGGGUGUUGUAAGUAGUGGCUUGCCCACAGUAACAAUUAAAGUAUGUAUCAGAGCUGUAAAUAGAAACCAAGAAACCCUGCUUUACCCACCAUAUCCUCCUUCAUACCAACAGAAGACAAAAUAUUAGCAUUGCUAUCUUGUCAAGUGAGAUGUAACUGGAAACAACUUCUAAUUGAGCAAAUGGGAAACUAGAGAUUGGGUUAUCCUGCUUGCCAUUGGCUACAGAGCUAUGUGAUCUGGGCUAAGACCAUCAGUAGUGAAGAGUAGCAGUGCUGCUCAUACCCAAUGGGAGAGAGGUGAUGGUGAAAAGGGAGAGGAGCUAUACUAUUGAUAUACUGGUGGAAGAAAGGAGGAAGUGUCAUCGCCUGGACUUAGAGGAGAGUGGAAAGAGACAUGGAGUUUGGUGUAGCUGAGGGUGAAGGAGGUGAUAAAGAGACUGAAAUGUGGAAGGAGUGGUAGAUUUGGUUUGUCCAAGAGGACAUCCCUACUACAUGAUAUGUCAGUGGGGUAGCACAGGAAUGGAAGGAAAGAGGGGUAGAAACAGGUGGAGAAGGCUCCAAACUUGCAAAGAGGUUCAAAGUUGUUGGAAGGGGAGAGAUAAAACAAUAGGUUAUCAUUAGAGUGCAGGGCCUUCAAACUAAAGUCUAAUUUCUGUGCACCAGAUAUUUAAGUGUUGGUUCAAAGGUCACCUUGCAAUACCAUUCCCCAAAGAAGGAUGAUGCUCCUUUUCACUAAAAACAGAAACCAUGGAGUAAGGUUCUGCCCUCAGUUAGUAUCAACAGUCAGAUCUGGACACGCUCAAUGCUGGAGAGAUGUCUAGAGAUCAAUAGAAAAGCAGCCAGUGCCAAAACAGAUGCUGAUUAUGUCACUGGCACUGAGAUGGGGUCAUAUUUAUCUUCACUCACCACAACUAAGUGUAGACCUGUCAAAUAGACUGAAAAAAAUUGUAGAUGAGGAUGAGAGAAGCACAGACAGCUGGCCUCAAUUACACCGAGAUCCAGGAAAAAGUGCUCAAUCAGGAGCAGGCAAAGGAAGAUAAGGAGCCUUUCUCACUUCCCUGCCUGGGCUACCUAUAUUAAGGGAGACAAACAGGAGAGGGGGAAGUGAAAACAACUGCCCUUGAGCUGAGAAGAUCCACUAUUCUUGGCACGCUGGCCAAAAGAAAUCGAAAGUUGAAACCAAAAAUGCUGGCACAGAGUAGUUCUUCCAUAGAGCAAAGGGAAAGCUCUGCUCUGCUUAUGGCUGGCCCUUUGUGACAGCAAUACAAGUCUCGCCCAGGUCACUAUGCACAGAUGUAAACAGACCUGCCUACUAGGGGUGUGCGAAGCAGGCCCUAUUUGAUUCUGAUUUGGCCCGAAUCAGGGACAGUGAUUCAAUUCAUUGAUUCAGAUCACUGUCCCUGAUUCAAUUCGUCCGAAUCUGAAUCUGAAGAUUUGAUGCUGAUUCAAUCAAUCAGCAAUUCGAACAUAGAUGCAGAGAGUCCGCCAGGGAGAGUGCGGGGGAACCCCUGUGCCCCCUGGCUUGGUGAUCAGUCACAGGGAGACGCUAGGUGCCCCCCCAGACCCAGAAGGCACCAGUUGCCAAGACGGGAGAAGUGCAGACGGGGUCCCCUUGCGCACUCCCCAGGGGACCCGGAAGAGGACCAGAAGUGCUUCUGGUCCACUUCCAUGUCUGCUGCUGAGCACUCUAGGGAGCCCCCCGCGCUUCUGUGUCCCAGCAUCUCGGCAUUCACGAGCCACCUGCUACCUAGAGGUAUUGCAGAAAAAGCAUUUAAAGCUGUCUCUAUCUCCGAAUUGCCAAAUCUUUCUGAAUCUCUCCGAAUCAAUUCAGAAUGUUCCGAUUCUAUUCAGAGAGAUUAAAGGGUCCCUGAUUCGCUUCGGUUUUGCAGAUUCAGCCACCAAAUCAGGCCAAAUCUCUGCCAAAUCAGGGACCAAAGCUUUGCACGGCCCUACUGCCUACACAGAGACAUUUCUGUUGUAUUUGUAUAAAAAAUAAACUGACAGUUUUGUAUUCUGUAGCACAAGGGCAGGCUAACAUUUUUCGUGUUAAGCUUUUUUUCUCAGUAAAAAUGCAGAAUUGUUAUUUAUAAGUGGUAUAUAAAUACAAGGUCUCUUUUUUAUUUCCUUCCCAAAAUGUUCAUUUAAAAAAAAUAAAAAAUUGCAAAGAAUUUUGGACAGACCAAUUCUGAUCCUUUCAAUAUGAGAUAUUUGGAUGCUGGCAUCUGAAUUGACUUUCUGUUUCAGGAAUUUAUUUUUAUGUUUUUGAGUUUAAAAAAGCAAAUAUUUAAAAAGUGAAAAAAUGUUGAUUGACUGGUCAAUUUUUUCCAAAUAUAUGAGUCACCAAAAAAAUUGCUUUUAUUGUGAACCAGAUUUCUUUCUUUUUUGUUUUUUGUACUUUUCAAGUUACCCAGUGUAAGCUGUAGCUCACAGAACUAUGUAUAUAAAUAAAUGAGGAUGCUAUAGUAAGAAAUUCAUGUCCAAAACGAGUGAAUUGAA